AUGCACAAACACAUGCACACUCACACACACAGAGGCAUGCACCAACACACAUGCACUCACAUAGAGGCAUGCACAAACACAUGUGCACUCACACAGAGGCAUGCACAAACACAUGCACACACACAGAGGCAUGCAAAAACACACGCACACACACACAGAAGCAUGCACCAACACACGUGCACUCACACAGAGGCAUGCACAAACACAUGCACACUCACACAGAGGCAUUCACAAACACAUGCACACUCACACAGAGGCAUGCAUAAACACAUGCACACUCACACAGAGGCAUGCAUAAACACAUGCACACUCACACAGAGGCAUGCACCAACACAUGUACACUCACACAGAGGCAUGCACAAACACACACGCACUCACACAGAGGCAUGCACAAACACAUGCACACACAUGGGCAUGCACAUACAGAGGCAUGCACAAACAUGCACACACACAGAGGCAUGCAAAAGCACACACAGAGGCAUGCACAAACACAUGUGCACUCACACAGAGGCAUGCACCAACACAUGCACACACACACAGAGGCAUGCACCAACACAUCUACACUCACACAGAGGCAUGCACAAACACACACUCACACAGAGGCAUGCACAAACACAUGCACACACACAGAGGCAUGCACAAACAUGCACACACACAGAGGCAUGCACCAACACAUGUGCACUCACGCAGAGGCAUGCACAAACAUGUGCACUCACACAGAGGCAUGCACAAACACAUGCACGCUCACACACACAGGCAUGCACAAACACAUGUACACACACAGAGGCAUGCACAAACAUACACAUGGUGGCAGGCAAAAACACAUGCGCACUCACACACACAGAGGCAUGCACCAACACAUGCACACUCACACACACAGAGGCAUGCACCAACACAUGCACACUCACACACACAGAGACAUGUACAAACACACACACUCACACUCACGCUUCCAGGGAUACCAGCUGUCCUUUCAAGGGAAGGACAAGUCAAGCUUAUUGGCCUCAGGAAGGUUAA
This 1017-nucleotide long non-coding RNA is filed under the name Callithrix jacchus (white-tufted-ear marmoset). RNAcentral describes it as "lncRNA (ENSCJAG00000078750.1)". The record is from RNAcentral. Lineage: Eukaryota; Metazoa; Chordata; Mammalia; Primates; Cebidae.